This 253-nucleotide ribosomal RNA is filed under the name uncultured bacterium. RNAcentral's name for it is "partial 16S ribosomal RNA". It matches the Rfam family "Archaeal small subunit ribosomal RNA", at positions 474 to 727 of the family's 1478-position model. The record is from RNAcentral.
UUCCAGCACCCCGAGUGGUCGGGACGAUUAUUGGGCCUAAAGCAUCCGUAGCCGGUUUUACAAGUCCUCCGUUAAAUCCAACUGCUUAACAGAUGGGCCGCGGAGGAUACUAUAAGACUAGGAGGCAGGAGAGGCAAGCGGUACUCAGUGGGUAGGGGUAAAAUCCGUUGAUCCAUUGAAGACCACCAGUGGCGAAGGCGGCUUGCCAGAAUGCGCUCGACGGUGAGGGAUGAAAGCUGGAGGAGCAAACCGG